Bubalus bubalis (water buffalo) is the source of this 415-nucleotide long non-coding RNA. RefSeq lists it as uncharacterized. The transcript is spliced from 2 exons. NCBI's taxonomy places the organism in Eukaryota, Metazoa, Chordata, Mammalia, Artiodactyla, Bovidae. The record is from RefSeq and is a predicted model, not a curated record.
UCUCAGAGCUGAAGCGGAGCUACUACAACUGAACCACCUAGCUUGUGGGAAAAUGAUUCUGUGCUUGGUGGUGAAAUGCUUGCAAGGCUGUCUGGUGCUGAGUGGUGUCAUCGCAGAAGCUGGGUGGUCUUUUCUGCUAAAGUCUGUUACUGCUGCUGCUGCUGCUGCUGCUAAGUCGCUUCAGUCGUGUCCGACUCUGUGCGACCCCAUAGACGGCAGCCCACCAGGCCUCCCUGUCCCUGGGAUUCUCCAGGCAAGAACACUGGAGUGGGGUGCCAUUGUCUUCUCUACUGUUAAAGUCUAGAAGCCCUCUAUGCCCCCACUCCUAUUACUGGAGCCCUCCAAACCAUUUCCAGUUUGGUGCUGCCCUAUUGAAAUAGAUGUUUGCUCAAAUAAACUUAAAAAUUUUAACAUG